GACGAACGCUGGCGGCGUGCUUAACACAUGCAAGUCGAACGGAAAGGCCCUGCUUUUGUGGGGUGCUCGAGUGGCGAACGGGUGAGUAACACGUGAGUAACCUGCCCUUGACUUUGGGAUAACUUCAGGAAACUGGGGCUAAUACCGGAUAGGAGCUCCUGCUGCAUGGUGGGGGUUGGAAAGUUUCGGCGGUUGGGGAUGGACUCGCGGCUUAUCAGCUUGUUGGUGGGGUAGUGGCUUACCAAGGCUUUGACGGGUAGCCGGCCUGAGAGGGUGACCGGCCACAUUGGGACUGAGAUACGGCCCAGACUCGUACGGGAGGCAGCAGUGGGGAAUAGUGUACAGUGGGCGGAAGCCUGAUGCAGCAACGCCGCGUGCGGGAUGACGGCCUUCGGGUUGUAAACCGCUGUCGCCUGUGACGAAGCGUGAGUGACGGUAAUGGGUAAAGAAGCACCGGCUAACUACGUG
RNAcentral lists this ribosomal RNA (468 nucleotides) under uncultured bacterium. Its description in RNAcentral is "partial 16S ribosomal RNA". It matches the Rfam family "Bacterial small subunit ribosomal RNA", at positions 28 to 507 of the family's 1533-position model. The record is from RNAcentral.